RNAcentral lists this ribosomal RNA (497 nucleotides) under uncultured bacterium. RNAcentral describes it as "partial 16S ribosomal RNA". It matches the Rfam family "Bacterial small subunit ribosomal RNA", at positions 28 to 507 of the family's 1533-position model. The record is from RNAcentral.
GAUGAACGCUGGCGGCGUGCCUAAUACAUGCAAGUCGAGCGAACAGACGAGGAGCUUGCUUCUCUGACGUUAGCGGCGGACGGGUGAGUAACACGUGGAUAACCUACCUAUAAGACUGGGAUAACUUCGGGAAACCGGAGCUAAUACCGGAUAAUAUAUUGAACCGCAUGGUUCAAUAGUGAAAGACGGUUUUGCUGUCACUUAUAGAUGGAUCCGCGCCGCAUUAGCCAGUUGGUAAGGUAACGGCUUACCAAGGCAACGAUGCGUAGCCGACCUGAGAGGGUGAUCGGCCACACUGGAACUGAGACACGGUCCAGACUCCUACGGGAGGCAGCAGUAGGGAAUCCUCCGCAAUGGGCGAAAGCCUGACGGAGCAACGCCGCGUGAGUGAUGAAGGUCUUCGGAUCGUAAAACUCUGUUAUUAGGGAAGAACAAAUGUGUAAGUAACUAUGCACGUCUUGACGGUACCUAAUCAGAAAGCCACGGCUAACUACGUG